Molecule: ribosomal RNA, 253 nt
Filed under: uncultured bacterium
Lineage: Bacteria
Description: partial 16S ribosomal RNA
Rfam family: Bacterial small subunit ribosomal RNA
Source: RNAcentral
UACGGGGGGGGCAAGCGUUGUUCGGAAUUACUGGGCGUAAAGGGCUCGUAGGCGGCCAACUAAGUCAGACGUGAAAUCCCUCAGCUUAACUGGGGAACUGCGUCUGAUACUGGAUGGCUCGAGUGUGGGAGAGGAAUGCGGAAUUCCAGGUGUAGCGGUGAAAUGCGUAGAUAUCUGGAGGAACACCGGUGGCGAAGGCGGCAUUCUGGACCACAACUGACACUGAGAGACGAAAGCCAGGGGAGCAAACGGG